RNA transcript from Triticum aestivum (bread wheat), 2752 nucleotides. RefSeq lists it as uncharacterized. The transcript is spliced from 9 exons. The record is from RefSeq and is a predicted model, not a curated record. Lineage: Eukaryota; Viridiplantae; Streptophyta; Magnoliopsida; Poales; Poaceae.
CCUAGCCGCCUGCAGCUGCAGCCGCCUCCUCUCCUCUUCCUCGUUCUCCUGCCGCCGCCGCCUCCUCCUCUCCUCUCCCCGAAUUCUCCUACCUCAGUCGUCGUUGUCGCCGCCGCCGCCGUCGACCUAGACGUCACCGGCUGAGACCGCUGUGGUAUGGAUAAGGAGACGAGAGGAAGAGGACAUCCUUCCCUGACAGCGCCCCGACCUGCCAGGUCUUCCUCCUCGUCGGCCUAGGUCUGGUUCUGCUGGAUUAGAUGGACAGAAGUGGUGGAUCCGAUGGUUGCCGGAAUCCCUCAUCGUCGGAGGAAGGCGUGCGACCGGCAAAGAAAUAGGCUGAUGGAGCAGGAUGGGGUGGCGGUUCAAGUUCGGCGGCCUUCGCGUGUUGUGGUUGGCGGCGCUCCACUUCCCUUCUCCCCUGCCCAGGUGAGUCGUCCUUGAUCUAAAAUAUUUAAUCCCCACACUGAUUUUUUUAUUAUACAGUACGGUGGUCUGCAGAUUAUCCUUCAAAGGAGGCCACAAAGAGCAGCGAUGGCUUCUUGGUAAUCUGCAAUUGGCCACAAAGGAUGAGGUACAUGGAGAUUGCCAGCUACCUUCCAUUGGUGUAUAUGCAAGCUACAGAGAAAACCAAAUAUGCACCAUGCCGAUAUGCUUCAUGACGAGUGUGCUUUUGUCAUCCCUCACCCUCUCAGAUGGCCAUUAGGUGCUAACCAAGAGGUGCACGCCAUGAAUCAAACUACCGAGGGGGCAUACAGUAAUAAGGAGGGAGUGGCUAUCGCAGCGAAGCUACCCUCCCCCUCAAUCAUGCACUGCUUUUCAAACGCAGUUUGCCACUGCUGUUUAAUUAGCUUCUGCAUUAGCAGCGGAUUCAGAGUUUAUUCUUCAGCGGAUUCAAUUUGCGGGAGACUCCUGUUGCAGUUUGGUGACAUAGAUCAGUGUCAAGUCGCUUAACAAAUGCAGCUAGGUUCCAUUCAGUUAGCCAAAGCCAUUGUGCAUUAAAAUUGUAGAUGUGCAUGAGAGUGUGGAAAUCAUUAUGGCACGUCUAUGAGCAUGCUAUACUCCCAUGCUACUUUCAGUUAUUGACCACUAGCUUUAUUACAGCACCCAGGAUUUCAGGGUUUGCUUUACUUAGGUUAGUAUGUACUCUACCACAGAUGAAUUGGUUAUAUCUCAUUUUAAUAUACUUCAUUAGUAAUUACUAAAUAAUCUAAAGCGAGUUCUAUGGCAAAUUUUGUUUGGGUCUACUUUUUUGGAUCAUUUCCAUAUCUACAUUUCUUACAUAUAAAGGUAUGCUGCAAAAAUUAAGGGUCUGGAUGGUAAUUUAUGGCUGUUUCAGUUGCUGACCAUGUGAUUAUGGUAGUCUACAAUUUGCUUAUGGGUUCUUCAUUGCUUGAUUUUUAUCUCGGACAAAAGAGGGCCAGCCACACCUUUGAAAUAAGCAGCGGCCAUCCAGUCCAGAACAGACUGAAUCUGCUCGACAAAGUGUGAAAAUGCAAUUACUGCUUGGAAAAGUGUAAAAAAGGCCAGGGUAUCAUUUAUGUAGUUAUUUGGAAUGCAAGGUUAGGAAAUCCAAGAAAUAAGAUGAGAAGAGGAAUCUAGCAAAGGAAGGUGAAUCUUUUCUCUUGUGAAUACAACAAGAUUAUUGAAGAUUUUUGCUGCCAUGGAAUUGUGAGUUUGUGACUAUACAUUCUUGUGUCUUGAAGAUGUAUUGUCUCUGUAUGUGAAUGUCAAUAUCCAGGUAUGUAAGCAAGUCCUAACUUUUAUUCACAUAUUUAUCUAUGAAAUGCAUGCAAGCAAAUCACAUCUUACAGACAAAUGCCCCCUUAUAGGUAAAUGUGAUGAUUCAUAAAUUAACCAGUUGGAGAUAUGUAGAUAGUCAGGUGUACUGAUAACUGGAGUUUAGUGCUCAAAAUCCUUCUACCUUUUCUACUGACUGUAUUUUCGUGACGUCUUUAAGAGAAGAAUGAGUACUAUUAGUCAUUCUCUAUCAUGUAUAAUAGUACAAUACUGGAGAUGUGAAUGGAUAAUGUUCAUUUAGUAUAGUAUUAGUAGAUGAUGUUUUUUUUCUUCAGUCAACUCGUGUAUUUCCUGAUAUGUUCAGUCUAUUCCCAAAUUAGUUCGUAAAGUAGCCUUAACAAUUAUACAGUCUCUUUGUGUAUUAGUACUCUGUUUUCUUUGGUUUUGGUCAGCUGGAAGAAUCAGUUUGUCAUAACAUGUGAAAAUGAUUUUAUUUACUUACGCUGUUGCUUUUAUCAGUUAGCAAAGAUGUUUGUCAAAUGUAGUAAGUUAGGCAUCGCAGUGAAGCUUAGCAAAGGGACUUCUGGUGAGGCCUACAAGGCUGGAAGCACUGUAUGUAAGUUUCUUGGUAGAUAAUAAGCAGUGGCAGAUGAACCAAUAAGUUAUCUGUGCCCAUGCUUUAUUAGUCCAUGAUAUCAUACAGUUUGAAGUCAAAAAAUUCAUGAUAUGGGUGAUAUGGAAAAGUCAUUGCCUUCUUUGCUGGAACAUUCCCUGAUUGCCUGGACUUCUUGGGUCAAUCGCUGGACGCCACCCCCGUCUCCUGGACGUCAUGACGCCGCCGAUUUCCUUGACGCCGCGUGCCACCGAUCUUCUAUAACUCAAUUUCUCCAAUUUCUCUCGGCUGUGAGCUCAUAUAUAUUUUUGAGCUGUGAACUUAUUAUGUAAACUCAACACUUUGUUUUGUGACAAGUGAACUCAUUUCAUAUUCAUCUAUCAAUCAUGGUUGAAGUGUCUA